UAAAUUUCACACUAACUUCCCAAGAUAAAUUUUCUCCCAAACGGUUUGAUUAUACGUAGAAAGAUGACAUCAAUGAUGUUGCACAAUCUUUUUCAUUGCUUAAAAAUGUUGACACUAUUAGGAAGACCAUAUGAUAUGAUAAAUUUUAACAUCUAAGUUUCAAAUAGCAAACGACCCUCCAUUUUUCUCACUCAAGAACGCCAACCAAUCUUCAUUCAAGGGAAAAUGACCACAAAUUUGAAGAUCUGUAGAAAAGGGAGAAGAUUGUUUGAUCCAAUUUUUUUCAUUGCAGAAACAAGAAAUGAUGGAAAAAUUUCCCAAUAUAUCUGAGGAUGUGUUUGGUCGUUGGUAUCGGCUCAGAUGGUCGAUAAUUUAGCCUUGAAGGAAGAAGAACUAUCCGACUCAUGAAUAGGAGGAUAAUGCACUUCAGCGCACUUAAACCCAGGUCUAAAUAAAAA
Long non-coding RNA from Gossypium arboreum, 458 nucleotides. RefSeq lists it as uncharacterized. Lineage: Eukaryota; Viridiplantae; Streptophyta; Magnoliopsida; Malvales; Malvaceae. The record is from RefSeq and is a predicted model, not a curated record. The transcript has 2 exons.